UGCGAAUGGGCGAAGCCUGACGCAGCGACGCCGCGUGGGGGAUGAAGCUUCUCGGAGUGUAAACCCCUUUCGACCCGGACGAAACGCCCGCAAGGGCUUGACGGUACGGGUAUAAGAAGCCCCGGCUAACUACGUGCCAGCAGCCGCGGUAAGACGUAGGGGGCCAGCGUUGCUCGGAAUUACUGGGCGUAAAGGGUUCGUAGGCGGUGCGGUAAGUCGGAAGUGAAAUCUCUGGGCUUAACUCAGAGGCUGCUUUCGAAACUGCCGUGCUAGAGUGCGGGAGAGGCGAGUGGAAUUCCCGGUGUAGCGGUGAAAUGCGUAGAUAUCUGCAGGAACACCCGUGGCGAAGGCGGCUCGCUGGACCGCAACUGACGCUGAGGAACGAAAGCUAGGGGAGCAAACAGGAUUAGAUACCCUGGUAGUCCUAGCCCUAAACCAUCAGGACUUGGGGUGGCCCGCGUUGGCGGGUCGUCCCGGAGCUAACGCGUUAAGUCCUGCGCCUGGGGAGUACGGUCGCAAGGCUGAAACUCAAAAAAAUUGACGGA
This 545-nucleotide ribosomal RNA is filed under the name uncultured bacterium. RNAcentral's name for it is "bacterial SSU rRNA". It matches the Rfam family "Bacterial small subunit ribosomal RNA", at positions 365 to 917 of the family's 1533-position model. The record is from RNAcentral.